Molecule: unclassified non-coding RNA, 4311 nt
Filed under: Homarus americanus (American lobster)
Lineage: Eukaryota; Metazoa; Arthropoda; Malacostraca; Decapoda; Nephropidae
Description: fERM domain-containing protein 8-like, transcript variant X5
Source: RNAcentral
GAACUACUUAACUCGACCUAUUCACAGUGUCCACUAGAGAUACAAAUGUUGUUCUAGUAAUAAGUUUGCUUUAAUAUAGAUGGUUGUCCACCAGUAUGAAAAAUAUAAGUAAUAAAGUGAUGCGAAAUUUAUUGUCUCUAAUAAUACGAACGAAAGGUAUUAUUUAGGUAACAGUGGCAAGAGUGUGUACGAUAACAUCCAACUGGUAAAUACAGUACAUGCCAGCGCUUAAUACAGGUUGUGUGUGAUCUCAGACUUCUUCGCCAUUACAUAAAUGCGGAACUUCAUAAAAAAAUGAUUUACCGUAAAUUUUCAGUAUAUUUUAAAUAAAUAUUUUUAAGUUUUGUACAUUUAUCUUCUAAAAUAACGCCAAAGUUUCUAGGAAAAAAUGCUUAGAUUAAAAAAAUGACUACCUGCGCUAAUGUAGGCUACACAAACGAAUAAUUAAGUCAAAUUCUCAAGGAUUCGUACGAUAUAUUUUAUCCAGUAACUCGUAUAAAUGAGUGUCAUAACAAACAACAACAACAUUAAUAGGUAUCACAACAAACACCAUUAAUGAAUAUCAACAAAUACAACCAAAAAUACAACCAUAUCUUUACCAACAAAACACAACAACACCGACCUUAACAUCAUUAGGCGUGUCACAACAAAUAUAUCCAGAAGGUUUACCAACAAUAACAACAACAAAGACGAACAGCAUAGUACAGCAUUGUACAGUAAAUUAUUAUAUAGCAGAAGACAGCAGAAAUAUAACAGGACAGAAGACACAGAAACAGCAGUCGCAACAAAUAGAAACUAGUCUGUCUGUGGCCCGUUAAUUGAGGUCUCCAAAUCACUUAAUGAUACAGCAAUUAAAGCAGUUGUGAAUGGACUCAGUGAUCACGCGCCGACGAAUGUAAUUGACGAGCCCUGCCUCUAUACUGAACUCGAAUGAGAUUUUUUUUCCCUACGUACACUGUGCGCGCUGGUUGAGUUUUUAUAACGAACGGAUGUUUAUGUUUAUAACAUGUAUUCGUAGUGAAGUUCUGCAUGGGAAAUGUUUAAAAUUUAUAAUCUAAUUUUAUGUCUAGAUGUUUAAUUAGAUGCGUACUCAAGUUUUAUGUGGGAAUGUAUCCGUAUUUUUGUUCUCGGUAAAGCGACAACCCUGUUUAUCACUAUCAUUUCAUUAUCAUUUUACCUGUAGGGCAUUCAGACAUUCAUGAAAACAAAGAUAUUAACUUAAAAAAAAAAAUACAUCACCGGCCAGACGCUAAAACAAUAGUGACCAUGACAAACAAUAAAACAGCCUAAUCAUAAAUACAUCCUAUUAGAAACAUUUAAAACAAACACAAAAGAGAGGAUUAUUAACUUUAAAACAUGGAAGGGGAGAAGAGCAGUACCAAUGAUUCCCUCCCAGGCAGCCUGCUGAGUCAGGUUAGCAGGAAAAGCAGUAUGAUCAGUAGGGUGAGCAGGAGAAGCAGUGAAGCCAGCAGCAUCAGCACCACCAGCAGUAACAUAAACAUAGAUGAUUUGUCUCUGUUGUCCGAGUCCUUCCCGGCUAGACUAUGGCAACGCUGGAUAGGCCUUCCGAUGCCACUAGGAAAAAUGUCAGAUUACGGCUUUGAGGAGGACGACAGCGGGGGUCUUGGCGGCCACCAGACAGACGCUGGUCAGAACUACAUCACCGUCAUCCCCGUCGAAUACCCCACCAGGAGACCCUACCCUGACUACGAUGCCUUCCCUAGGUCGGCUACCAUCUCAAGGACUCGGAGGCGUCCACGCGGUGAAACAGAUGCUUUCCCACGAUCUGCCACCAUCUCUAGGGAGUUCCUGCGGGAGAGGGCGGCGGCGGACUUCCUUCGCGGGGACUACAAGGGCAGCGCCGAUCACCUGGACAAGACAGCUGGUUUCUACCCUGGUCUCCCACCCCCUGCCUUCGACGUGCCGUCCCUCUCACUAGACCCCGAGACCAGACGACCCUCCACCCACAUGAUGGCCACCCCUCCGCAGACCACCACCGCCCCCACCAACCUGCCCAGCCACACCCUCCCCACCACUACCACCAGCGUCACCCACCCCUCCGUGCCACAACCCAUCUCGCACACGGAAGACUUCGACAAGGCGAAUAACAAGAGCGACCACGAGAGGAAAAGUAACAAAGGUCGGUCGUCGGGCGGGGUGGAGGUGUGUGUAUUCCUGCAUUCCCGAGUGGCGGUGAGACUACGGCUGGAUGACGGCGCCAGGAUCACCGCCCAGGAGCUCCAGGCCAUGGUCAUAGAGGAGGAGGACGUCUCCCUACCCAAGCAGGCCAUGGAGGUCUUCGCUAUCUGGAUGGUGUCUCCUGUAUUAGAGAUCCAACUGAAACCGUACCAGCGCGCACUCGAGGUACGGCGGCAAUGGGGAGAAUUAUUGAAGCGCUUUGCACAGAUCUCUAUCAAACCACAAGACGCCCGCUACGCCCACGAACCCAAGAUGGUGCUCAGGAGGAACGUCUUCUUCAGCAAGAGAGACGAAGUCAAGAUCAGAGACGCCAAGAUCCUGGAGCUGUUGUACGAGGAGGCACAGUGGAACAUGCGGUCGGCGCGCUACCCCUGUGAACUCUCAGAUUACGAAAUGUUGGCGGGGAUUCAGAGUAGGCUGGAGCUGGGCCCAUAUGACCACACCACUCACACUCCCUCCUUCUUCAGACGUCGACUCCUGGAUUACCUGCCGGAGCAUGCAUGUCGUCUCAAAUUCAGUGACCUGGUCAGCUUCAGUAGUAAAUCAACACCUGAAAUCCGUAUCAUCGAGCAGUUCCGCUCCAUCCCUAGCAACGUGACGGCCCGCAAGCUGGUCAGGAAGUACCUCGAGUUCUCCUGGUCCCUUCCCUACUAUGGGAGUGCGUUCUUUCACGGUCAGAUCGAGCAGCCGACACGGGGAGUCAGUUCGUGGCUACCGAGGCCGGAUAUCCCGGUGCUGGUCACCAUUAACGCAACUGGCGUCACCGUUAUAGAUCCCAACAAAUCGAAUGUACUGUUGAGCUUAAGGUACGAUGAAUUGUCAUGGGAUUUCGCGAGACCCAGCAACGAGCGCAGCGCCACUUGCCUUCCCUGCCUCUUCCUACAGUUCGCUGUUGUCGAGAACGGCAGAAGAUACUCCAAACUUCUUCAAAUCUUCUCUAAACAGGCCAUCAUGAUGGAUGCGCUCAUCAGCACCUUUGUGGAGGAACUCAAGCGUAGAGCGGCCCAGUACCCUGACGACUUAGAGGGACACAUGCUGGACCACGGCACCGAGAUUGACGACGUGUUGGUGCCGCUGUCGACCGUAUCGCGGAAGGAGGUGCCAGAGUCGGUCCUGUGCAACAAACUCCAUCGUCUCUCUCUCGCCACCUUCACUGAGGACGGUCGCUGCGUGGGCACCAUGGGGUCGUGGCAGUUCAGCAGAUGAGGGGAUGCCAUCGACUACGUGUGACCAGACACCCGCACCACCACCACCACGCCCACUCUGCCAAACUCCGAGUCAGCCACCUCCUGGACUAUGCCUGCCCCAGAGUCUACGCCACUCCUUCACACCUGACGCCAAUGCUCAGGUGUAUUGACCCCCACGUUCAGCCGCACUGACGCCCAUGUUCAGCCGUAUUUACACCCAAGCCGGUUUUGAAGUCGAAGUUUACCCAUACGGAUUCACGUUAGGACGCACAACCGAUAACCUACCCCUGUGAUCUUAAACCUCAGAUGGAAGAAUGAAUAACAUGAAGAUUAGACAACCCAGCUUAUUUUUCUGGAGCGUCAGUCACAGUGGCUCUCUCCAGGACACAGGAGCCAGGUAGGUGUGUGAUUCGUGUAUCACUCCCAGGUGUGUGGCAGCAAGAACAGCACUUAACAUACACAUAUUUUAGUGACAUCCGUAGGUACCCAUGUUACUCACUUAAGAGCUCAUGUUACACACAAAAGUCGAUAUUACCCACAAGAGCCCACAUUUACUCACAAGAGCCAAUGUUACUCACCAAAGUCAGUAUUACCCACAAGAGCCCAUUUUACCCACAGGAGACCAUGUAACAAUUGUAACAUCAAAACAUUCUUAAUGAUGUCACACCCUUCAUAGAUGGUGUGUCAAUUGGAGGCCAAAGAAAAUAAUAGGUUUUAAGGGGAUUUCAAUUUCCUUCCUCUAUAUUACUUGGUAUGGACCAAUGUAUAUACCAAUGCAGAAAUGUAUACAGACUUUAGCCUCAAGGUAAACAUAAGCAAGAUGCAGAAUAUCUUACAAACUCACCCUGGAUCUAGUCAUUCCUCAUUUCACCUAUGGAAAUCAAUGAGGAGAUCCAACAUUGAAUUGGGUCUGUUUCUCAGGAAU